CUUCUUCCGCGGUUGUUGACGAAGUCACCCAAGUUCAAUUCCUUCCAUCCAUCACUACGGGGUUGAGGAUGUAUGCCCGGAUCCUUCGAAUCUUGUGACUUAUCAAUUGACACGGUAUAGCCUUCAUUAUCAGUUCCCUUAGCCUUUUCCUCAGAAAAUCUUACCGAUGCAGUUGCUUUUUCAAGCCCCCUUGGCUUGGCACUAAGUUUGAACACGAGAUAUGUCGAAUAGGAACUGCCCCUUGGUAGGUCCCUAGAAGGCACACUGGCUCGAAUGUCAAACCAGCAAACUUCAACAAGCUCGGCAACCUCGAAGCUGUACAAAGGCAUUAAAAUCAGUUUAGGAUAAUCUUCGAAAGUCAUCAACUAACUAAAGGGGGAAAGUGAGAUAAUAAUAUAAAUGGAAUAGGACUAUAUACAGGACGGGUACGUGUGAAGUUAGUUCAGGAGGUUUACCCAGAAGGUACAUCAGUGUACCAUUUCCAAUAGCGUGGAUCAUUACCGUGAGAGAUCACUAGAUCCCUUGCGUUGAUGGUGUAAACCUGUGAUGGAAAAUCGAGCAUCGACAAGUUAAUUAAUCUUUUCAGGCAAAGUAACAAAUGACUGAUGAGUAGUUCCAGUAUUAAUGCAAACUAAGAACUACUGUUAUAGUUAUAUACCAUGUUGAAUAGAAGUAGCUCUGGAGUAGUGUUGGAAGGACUGUACGUUUUGUGGAAUGAGGGAUUGAAGAUUGCGGGAAUGGAUAUUUAUAGGCCUAUCUGAUUAACUGACGCUUGCAGAUAUUUCCAAUCUUACCUCAUCAGAGAUGUGUAAAAACGUGUUUCGUGCUGGUGUGAAGGUCAGAUGCUGAUGUGAAUGAGGGUGGCCUUUCACAAAACCACAAAUAUGAGUGUAUCAGAGUCCAAUUAUUCUCUGCCAUCUCUUUCUAUAGUCAAUUUUUGUAAAAACCAUAGCGAAUGCUUAUGGGAAAGUCUUCUUUGCAUGUCUAAAGAUUAGAUGAUAAAAUGAAAAUGGUAGAGCUGGUAAAUGGCACAAUUGGCAAUGUAAAAGAAGGAUAGAGCUUGCAUCAUAGGAAAAACAUGGGAUUUGUACCGUGGAAACUGUAGCAUUUCAAUUUUUUUUUUCUCGCACACUUGUUCAAAAAAUUUAGCAUAAUUGAAGAAAACAAAAGAUAUAAAGAGGCAAACAAAGAAAAGGAUUGAAGAUUGCCAAGGAAAAGGAAUUAUUUGACGAGUCUUAAUGAUACCAUUAAGGAUAAAUUUAAGGAUAAGGAGCAGGUGUAAUUGUGUUUUGUCCAGUUUUAUUUGUAUGGUAUAAAUCAUACAAAAUUUAAUGUAAACUUACAUGACUUUCGUGUAGUUAUUGGUGCCGUUGAUGUAUGUAGAUUAGCUCUAUAGCACAUCCAUGAAAUCUUGUAAUAAAUAUACAAAAUAGAGUCUUAUAACAAAUAUACAAAAUCUUGUAAGAAUUACGCUAACAGGACAAAAUUGAAUAAAGCUUAACUAUACUUGUACCCUUGCAAAAUUUUUAUGUUGUGUGAACGCACUUGGUUGGUUUGACCUGCUGGCAAAUACCUAAAUGAACUCUUGUCCAAGAAAAACCUUUCCAACACCUCUAGUUGUUACUAGAUACUACACUAUGACCAUCACUUGUGGAAAAGUUGGGAGGGAUUUUUUUUUUGGUCAAGGUCAAGACUUAACAAAAGGCCUUUAUGGGAUAGAAGAAUCAUUUUACGUCCAAAACAGGACACAUAAAAGUCUAUCAAGACCAAGACUUAUAAAAAAGACGUACACUAUACUAUACACUUACAACACAUAUUUCAAAAAUAAAUUAAUUAGUUAAAUACAUGCUCAAUCAAGCAAUUUUGUCAAGACCAACAUUGUAAACAGCUGCAGACUAGUAGUAAUAUGAACAUCAAACUUAAAAGUUUUGAAAUUUCACAAGAUGCGACAAGUGGAAAUUGUGCAAAGUGACAUGAAAGCAAGAUUCUAGAUCAAAAUAGUUGUUACUUAAUUUGAAUUCGCAGAUUCAUUCAUCCAAAAAAAAAAAAUUUUCACAGAUUCAAAUAGAAAAUCUGAAUGAUAAAAAGACAAUAACAUAAAUUAGCCAAAAUCACUAGCGCAAAUUUCACUGUUCAUUUAAAAAAACUUACUAUUAUAAUUGCAAAGUUCACCUUGUCUUUCCUAGUUGUUACCACUUUUUUGGUAAAUCAUAUUAAUUUUUUGAACAAACUUUCUACUUCAUUAGCUAAGCACUGCAAUUUAGUUUGGUAAACCCUACUACUUUUCCAACAAAUGAGAUUCAAAAUUUGGAAACUAAAUUUUAUUUUUUUUAUCAUCUUCGAACAAUUUAGUAUUAGUUCAUACAAAUUUUGGUCAAAUUGUCAUAAAUUGAUAGAAAUUCAAACAGGAUUUCUUUUAAGAAGUAAUGUUACAAUUUCUUUUAAAAUAGGAUUAUAUAUCAUUUGACAUUCGAUGCACUUCUACGGCCUUUCUUAGGUAUUGCAAUUAAUUAGGGUUGGCACUUGAAACCUAAAAGAGCCUAAUCAACAAGGUUGAAAACAAACAAUUCGUUAAAAUGAGAACAAAAAGCUCCAAACCACACAACGCGCAGAUGUUGCUUUGGAGUUUUGGAGGGACUAUUUCAUUGAAAGAGGAUUGAAGAUUGAGGAAAUGGAUAAUUAAGUGGCCUUUGUGGAUAUUUCCACAGUGGCCUCAUCAUGGACAUCAAAAACGUUGGUCCUUCUCAUUCUUUUACACGUACUAAGACAAACGUAAUCCUUGGCAAAAUUCACACCGUCGUUGGUUUAUCCUUCUAGUUGAAGGGCACAAAAUGUACCAAUCAUAGUAGUAGCUCUGACAAUGACAUUAGGUAACAUCAAUUGCUCAAUAUCCGUGAAUGCAAUGUUAAGUUAAAACUUAGAUUUUAGUUUUUUUUUUGUCAAAUAAAACUUAGAGUUUAGUUAUGACUACACUGAACUGCUAAACCAUCAUCAGGUCACAACGUUGCCACUCCAAUUAUACCCAAAAGAUCAUCAUGGUAACUUGCAAUCAAUUUGAAUCACACACCAUUCUCGAUAUAACUAAAUCAUGGAAUAUUUUGAACCAUAAUUCACACUUCUAGAUCCUAAACAUUGAUAAAUUACAAGUAUGAUAGGCUUAUUUGUUACCUACACUUGCGACUAUUUCUAGGAGAAUAAGAAAUUCCAUAGGCCCAUUGAUCAAGGAAGUUCGUCUAAAUAUAUCACCAUGAAUCUUGUGAAAUAACAUAUUUCCAGUAUACACAAUCCGACUAGUUAGUUGAAUAUAUCAAAUAUUAAUUGAUAUGAAUCAAUCAUCAUAAAUGCCAAACAAUCAUCUGAAGACACCAAUCAAUCAUGUCAGUUACCUUAUGUCCAAAAAGAUUGAAUCAAUAGUUAGUUAUAUUUUCCAUAAAAAAAAAAAACAAGCCUUAUUGUCAGUUAUGUUUUCCACGAGUAUCUUGUCAGGAAAACAAACCAUAAAUGGAGGAAUCUUGUAGACCUCAGAAGAAUGUUAGAGACGAGGUUUUUCCUUUGCACUAAAUUUUAAAAAUCUAAAUAUUCUAUUUUUUACAAGUAUACAGAUUGUUUAUCAAGAAUAGGACAUAUUAGGUAUCGAUCUCACAGGCAAGAUUGUCAAUUAUUGAUGAUUUUCAAGCUUCUUUAUUAUUUAAGUUAUCACAAAUACAAGAAAAUAAAUCUACUUUACAAUCAUGAAAUAAAAGGAGUAAAAAUAGCAAUAGAAAGCUUCUGGGGCUAUGGCAUUCCUAACUAGGGUGAUGAUAUCUCUAGAACUUACUCCUUCGAAAGACUCCUCAAGAGGGGUUAAAUGUGAAUCAUUCAUGCUCAUCUCUUGAUGUUCAACCUUAGUUUCAAAGAUACAAUCAUGUAAAAUGGACAUUUCGUCAUUGGAACACAAAUUAGAUUCAUCAUUUUGAUCAAAAUGCAAUCCACUUUCACAUACAACAUUCCCACCAUUCACAAUAGGAUCAAUUUACAUAUUAUUAGAUGAUAAAACUUCACAUAAGGCAUGCAAUUGGUCUUAAAUUCUACCAAAUUGAGAAGCUAAUUCAUCUAAUAUAUUCUCAACCCUAUCAAAAUGGUCAGAAGUCAUAUUAGCUAACCUUUCAAUUGCUAAUUUCCAAGACAAAAGUGCAUUAACUAACCUUUCAAUUGCUAACUUCCAAAAUGGCUUUGAUUCAAGUUGGACAAAUUCGAAUUGGUAAUUAUAAAAAUACAGAGGAGCAUUAUAUCCAUACUGAUUAUUUCAACUAUAAACAUAAGAAUUAUCCCAAUUAGGAUCAUAUUGAUCAAAACAAGGAUUGAAAGGCUCAAAUUCAUCAUAAUAAUCUACAUUUUGUGCGUGUCUACAUGUACGAGUAGCAUGAUAAUCGUCACACAAGUUACAAAUCACAUAAUUAGAAUAAAAAAUAUUAACAUUUUUCUUUCUUUUUUUCUUUUUUUUUAUUUGGCUAACCCCAUGCACGGGGAGGGACGCCACCCCUGAGUAUUAUUAAUAAAAACCACAAAAGACACAUACAAUGCCAAUCAAUCGAGCACAACCCUACUGCGUAUUACAGGAAUUCCUGCUCUAUCCAAACCCACGGCCCCACUAGCGGGUCUUGGUAACUCCGAAUGGGAGGUAUACAUGCCACUCAACAACCCUUGCGCCCCCACCUUAGACAAGAUGUUCGCCACCUGGUUUGCUUCUCGAAAACAAUGACCCACAGUCCAAUCCGAACCCAACAUUGAUUGGAUUGCCUCUACAUCAGAGCGAAUCAGCCAUGGACAUCUCGACUUGCCAGGGAGAACAUUUACUAAUGAACAUUUACUAAUGAACACCCACAGUCCACCUCCACCUGUACCCUGGAGACACCCCGUAACAGGCACUGCUGCACCCCAUAUAGCAACGACUUGGUUUCAGCUUGCAAACUUGUCGUCUACCCGAGGAGAAUGGAAAAACCAAAUAGCAAAUCACCAGAGGAGUCCCGAAGGACACCACACCCUCCACUAGGCCCUGGGUUACCUAAUGAACAUCCAUCCGUAUUUAACUUGUAGAUCCCCUGAAACGGCAGUUCCCAAUAUACCACCCUAUGGGAGUAUCGAGGCCUCCAUCCAUACAUACUAGAGUAAAAAGCAUGCCAGGAAACUGACAGGUUGUCAGCCUAUGAAAUAAUAAAACCUGCUUAAACUAAAAGUAAUUUCUGUAGAUAGCGGUGAGCAGGGUCGAAUCCACAGGGACUGGGGGUAAUUAUUUCUUUUCAAAUUCACAGUGACAAGGGGGUGUUUUUAUAUCAGGGGUGACAAUUUAAACAAUUCAACUAAAAAUAAAAUAAUAAAAAUAAAAUAGCCAACUAGAAAUUAAAUAACAAUUUACUAAAAUCUAAUGACUGAUAAUUAAGGAUCUAGCCAAGGAAUAACUUCAGCAAUGGUUCACCUAAUUGAUCAUCGAAGCAAAGGCAAUUCUAAUUAUUUAUUAAUAAAUAGGUUAUAACUGUCAAACAAGCGAUGACAGUCAACCCCUCCUUACUAUAUCGGUGAUCAAGUUACGCCCGUUAAUCACUUUUUUAAUUGAAAAACAAUCCUAGGUACGCCCGUAAGAUUUAAUUCCCCAAUUGCUUUACGUAUUAGAGGAGCCCUAUUCUAACCAAAUAACACACUACCAGGGUUAUUUCAGAUUAGCCUGCAUAUCCUCCUGACACAAACCAAAUCAUGCCAGUUGUCACUAUUUCAAGGCAAUUAAACAAUUACGAAUUUAAUACCCUAAUUGACAAUAGAUUACCGAAUCAAUUAAUUAUCCGGAUCCAAAAUAAUCAAUUAAUUAAAUAACCAUAAGCAUAGCAAUCAAGGAAUAUGCGAAUACCAAUAAUUAAAAGGAAAAGAUUAAAUUAAAUCGAUCUCACAAUUUUAGGCGAAUCAAAGCCUCCGUUGUCCCUGACUAGAGUGAAAAAUUAGUUCAUAUUUGAUACUAAAAACCCACACAAAGGUGUAGAAAAACCUGCGGCCAUUAUCCUUGAUCGAAAGAGUUCACUCCGUUCGAACAAAAGGAUGAAUAGCAGGUCUUCUGAGAAUGACUAAUUGGCUAAUUGAGUAAUACUUGUCUUGACAUACGGAGAAAUAAGAGCUACUUGAGCCCACAAGAAAAAGUCAAAAGAAGCUAAGCUAAAAGAGACACAAUCAAAAGCUAAGCUAAAGGUAGUGCUUGCCCUCUGCACAAUCUUCCUAUCUAAAAGUCAUGCUACUUGCGGCGGCUCCUGUGUGUGGAGAGGAAGAAGCCUCUCGACGACUGCCCAGGUUUGCUUUCUUUUCCCCUUUUUUAGUUGCUGUCUUCGGUCAAAAUUACCAAAAAGGUCUUGCAUCUCCUUGUUCCAAGAAUGCCCUUGAUUGCCUGCUAUUUGAACUCUUUCCUGAUAACUGUUAAAUUGGCACUUAUUAUGGUAUUUUCGUUCUACUCCCUGAAAUAUAUGCCAAAUACUAAAAGUGAGCAGAAUCCAGCAAUUAAUCCACAUCGGGUCAGGUAAUAGGGAAAAUUAAUAAUAAAAUAAAUGAUAAAAUUGCAACCUAUCAAUUCCCCCCACACCUAAACCAUGCUUGCCCUCAAGCAUGAGAACAACAAACAAAUACCAAUAUUUGAUAGUGGCUACUGCUCUAUCCACCAAAUUGCCAAGAUAUCAAGAAAAAUAAUAAUCAAGCAUCGAUGGUCAAGUCCAAGAAACAUCACUCUGGUUAGCUUCUAAACCAUAAACUCUUCCAAUUUCAGGUUAACUAAUCUAAGAAAAAGGAGUGGUCGCUCAAUAUUUAUCAGCGAAUGGUCCAACUAUUAACCAAAAUCUCAACAUUAAAUCCAUAAAUCGGCAAGCUGACUUUUAUCACACAUUAACACAACCAUUACCUUUUUUCCAUAUUUUUCUUUUUUUCCUUUUUUUUCAAUAGUAACACAAGACUUAGUCUUAUAGCCAUGGGAGCCUUUUGACGCGAACUCCAACAUUUGCCAGAUGAAGGAGCCUAGUUACUCAACUCCUAUCGCUAUACGACCACGUACUCAUAGAAAUUACUACUUUUUGACGCGAGAAUCGACACUUUUGGUGAAGAUCCCCGGUUACUCAGUAGUAAAAACUAGCUGAGUACAGCCAACUCUUAUUCUCAACUAAAUAACACAAAAACUCAAUAUAACACAAAAAUCAAAAGAAAAUUUGCAUCAGCUAUCCUCAUUUUCAAAUAUGGAGAACUAAGGUUAAUAACUGGACCAAUUCACAUGAAAAUGCCAACAAUCAUUCCCUAUGCCUAGGAAAGUUGACCAAAAGUUAAAAGAGUAAAACAAUCGCUGAUAUUCACCAAAGAGAUAUUCUUGGACUCAACCACAUUAACUUGAUACACUUUUAUUAUUAAAACUUGGCAAUAGCAGAAUUAGAGUCAACAAUCCAACAUCAAACUUUGGUAUUCAUUAAAAAAAAAGUAAACGAAGACUAGACAAAUAACAAACUAGCAAUAAAAGAAGGACAUCUGAAAACUAAAAACUGGUAUAGCUGUCCCUCCCCCCAUACCUAGAUCCUACAUUGUCCUCAAUGGAGGAAAUAAAAUAAUUAAAGCGAAGAGGAUAACGAAACUUCCCCCUCGAGUGGUUAAGGGGUAUUUGGUAGCUACGGAGGGAAACCAACAUGGUGAAGGUACGAGGCCACGUUCUGAGACAUCCUUGCCCAUUGGCGGGCAAUGUUCGUCAUUCGCUCAUCUACGUUGUGAACCUGUGCUUGUAAGUGGCGCCACUCACCAUUUUCGCCAAUUAUCAUUCCAAACAACCAAAGACAGAAUAUCCAACAAAGAUAGCAAUCACAAAUGCACAUUCAUAGUCACUGGUGUUCCCCAACUCAACAAUCAAAAGCAAACAUGGGCCACCCAAGCCCAAAUAUGGUCAACAAAGCAACAGUUGCACUUCAAAAUCAAAAACCAGAAACUAUUAUCAAUAACUGGAAACUAGCAAAGUCACGUCAAUAAGCACAGGAACUACCCAAUUUAGUCAGUCAACAAGCAAACUUGGGACAUCCACAAUAUCAACAAAUGCACUCUAAGAUUGUAACAAAUGCCCCCAUCAGUCAAACCAUAACAAUUGCCCCAAUAAUAUGCCAAAUUCAGCAAUAGAGGUUCAAGAAUUUAGUAAUAGUAACACAAUCACAAGCCCUUGGCUAUCAGCCAAAUAUCCAAACAAAUACAGUGAGCAGAUUCAAGGAAAAACAGUCCAACCAGUACCACUGGUGAAAAAUUAAGUGUACCACUUCACCACCCGAAAUCGUAGCAAAAACCCCAAGAAGCCAACAAUUCAAGCAAUAAUAAUUCCGUAAGCUAACAGUAGCACCACAGAAAUUAGCAAUGGAAGACGACAGUCAAGGCACGCCCAAUAGUUCACUAGAAAGCGAAGAAAUCCACUAAUAAUGUCGCAUCGAACCCAAAAGGCACUGAUGUCCCACAAUUGGAACAAAUAAAGAUAACCCAAACACCAGUGCAACCCCAGAUACUGGAACUCGAUUUAACCAGAUAAUGUGGCCAUGGAGGCUUCAAUUGAGUCUAACAAUUAAGUCCCAGAAAGGAUGCUCCAAAUAAUUGGGUAUAAGUUCGAGAGGGGUAAAUACCUCCGCCGCGAAUAGUGGCCAAACAAAAUCUCUGGUAGAGGCUGAAGGCGACGUAGCGAAGUGGGCAGAGGAGGUGGCGCGCUGCCCGAGGGUCAAGAGGGGAAGAGAGGCCGCAGCUGUGGCGGCGUGCUCCUUCGAGUGGCGGUGGUCACGGGUGUGUUAGUGGAGGGUUGCGUCUGGUUGCUGAGGAGAGAUCGCGCGCACAAGCUCAAAACGAGAGAGGCAGAGGGCGAGUUGCUCCUGGGGUAGUGGAGGCGUCACCUGUGGAUCGAGGACGUGGGCUGGGCUCGCGGUAGGAGGCAGCGGCAUGUGGUGGAUUUUCAGUGGCUGUCGCGGGCUAGGGAGACGGUGGCGAUGGAGGAGAGCAGCGACGGCGCUGGCUGCACCGUGGGCUGCAGGCUGAUGUCGUACGAGGAGAAGCUGGGGUCGCGGCUACUGGCAGCGCUGUUGGCGAUGCGGUGGCCAGGGAUGGAGAGAUGCACGUGGAGAGCUCUUUCCCGCGAAUGUGACGCGGGCACGUCAUGAAAGCACGGAAUGAGGAGCUCUCCAGGUGACUUGACGCGGGCACAUCAUGAGGACAAAAACCUUUUCUGACGAAUCUGACCAUGAGCUUUCCAGGUGACUUGAUGCGGGCACGUCAUGAGGACAAGAACCCCUUCUGACGAAUCUGACCAUGAGCUCUUCAUGGGACUUGACGCGGGCAUGUCAUAAGGAUCGAAAUCCUUUUUACUAAGUACCAGAAAAUCGCAAUGUGCCACGUGCCCAGUUGACGCGGGCACGUCAUGUCAGAGGGAUGCCUAUGAAUCAUCACAAACGAAAAUUGAAACCAUAAAUCAGUCAAAUCCAAGGAAAAACAUAUUUAAACUAACAAACAAAAAUGAACAAACAACUAAAAGGAAUUGGGUUGCCUCCCAAUGAGCGCCUUUCUUUAAUGUCUUUGGCUAGACAUCAUCAUGUUUUGUUCAUGGAGGAUAAAAUCUUGUGGCUCGUCUUAAUGUUUCAUCCUCUAUAUAGUCCUGAUAGCCCUUGUAAAUAGAAUAAUUCUUGAGUACACGAGUUACGGGCUUCCAUGGACUAGUAAAUGGCGCCAAACAAGUCAACGAUAAUUUGCAUUCUCCACUCACUCCUCCAUCACUUGCAUUUAUUGGUUCAAGAUAUCUUGAUAUCGCCACUCUUAAUUUAUUCCUGUCAUGAAAUUCAAAAUUUUCUGGUAUAAUAAAGUCAAUUUCAUUAACAGAAAUUGAAGAAUAAGAGUCAAGAGAAUAUUGAUUAAGGAAUGGAGCAGAUGUCACCGCAUUUGGAGAUUGUUCACUGGAUUCAUUCACUUGGACGCAUUGAUAUUGGGUCUUAUUUCUUGCACUUCACUUUCCUUUUCAACUGCAUCUUUAGAUCCAUUUUCUUGAAACUUUUGCAGUCCCAUGUCAUUUGACCGGAUAAUUGCACUCUCAUCUUCUUCAAGGUUGAUAUUGGUUUGUGAGGGCAAUUUUUCAAGGUGAGAAGCUAAUCGCGCUAUCCUGGAUGUCAAUUGAUUCAUUUGAUCCGCCAUCGCUUGUAACUCCUGUUGAGAUCGAUAUGAAUUAGCAGUUAGUAAUUCUAUCAUUUCUUCAAGAGACAUACCUGACACGGAAGAUGAUUGCUGAGACUCUUGCUGUUGGAAAUCCAUUGGCCCGGUCGCAUAAUUAAAAUUGAAAUUAUCCCACUAUCCUUGAUCAUACCUGUUUGGAUAAGGGUCAUACCACGUUUGAAAUCGAGGUGAAAAAUCUCAAAAGUAUAAAUUGGAGCACUUAGAUUCUCUUAAAAUGCAGGGCAUGUGUCGGUUGAAUAACCUGAGAAGUUCCACAAUUUGCAACACCCUAUUGAUCAUUAGGAAAAACACGAGUCUCAUAACCCCAUUCAGGAAUAAAGUCCAGUCUAUCAUCAAAAUAUGGAAUGUUAGCAACCAUAAACUAUAUAAAAAAAAGAGAGAAAAAUAAAUAAAAAAAUAAAAACAAAAUGAACUAAAAAAGAAACAAAUUAAUCAGGCACCAGUCCCUGGCAACGGCGCCAAAAAUUGACAGGUUGUCAGCCUGUGCAAUAAUAAAACCUGCUUAAACUAAAAGUAAUUUCUGUAGAUAGCGGUGAGUAGGGUCGAAUCCACAGGGAUUGGGGGUAAUUAUUUCUUUUCAAAUUCACAGUGACAAGGGGGUGUUUUUAUAUCAGGGGUGACAAUUUAAAUAAUUUAACUAAAAGUAAAAUAAUAAAAAUAAAAUAGCCAACUAGAAAUUAAAUAACAAUUUACUAAAAUUUAAUGAGUGAUAAUUAAGGAUCUAGCCAAGGAAUAACUUCAGCAAUGGUUCACCUAAUUGAUCAGCGAAGCAAAGGCAAUUCCAAUUAUUUAUCAAUAAAUAAGUUAUAACUGCCAAACAAGCGAUGACAGUCAACCCCUCAUUACUGUAUCGGUGAUCAAUGUACGCCCGUUAAUCACUUCUCUAAUUGGAAAACAAUCCUAGGUACGCCCGUAAGAUUUAAUUCCCCAAUUGCUUUACGUAUUAGAGGAGCCCUAUUCUAACCAAAUAACGCACUACCAGGGUUAUUUCAGAUUAGCCCGUAUAUUCCCCUGACACAAACCAAAUCAUGCCAGUUGUCACUAUUUCAAGGCAAUUAAACAAUUACGGAUUUAAUGCCCUAAUUGACAAUAGAUUACCAAAUCAAUUAAUUAUCCGGAUCCAAAAUAAUCAAUUAAUUAAAUAACCAUAAGCAUAGCAAUCAAGGAAUAUGCGAAUACCAAUAAUUAAAAGGAAAAGAUUAAAUUAAAUCGAUCUCAUAAUUUUAGGCGAACCAAAGCCUCCGUUGUCCCUUGACUAGAAUGAAAAAAUUAGUUCAUAUUUGAUGCUAAAAACCCACGCAAAGGUGUAGAAAAAGCUGCGGCCAUUAUCCUUAAUCGAAAGAGUUCACUCCGUUCGAACAAAAGAACGAAUAGCAGGUCUUCUGAGAAUGAUUAAUUGACUAAUUGAAUAAUACUUGUCUUGACAUACGGAGAAAUAAGAGCUACUUGAGCCCACAAGGAAAAGUCAAAAGAAGUUAAGCUAAAAGAGACACAAUCAAAAGCUAAGCUAAAGGUAGUGCUUGCCCUAUGCACAAUUUUCCUAUCUAAAAGUCAUGCUACUUGCGGCGGCUCCUGCGUGCGGAGAGGAAGAAGCCUCUCGACGACUGCCCAGGUUUGCUUUCUUUUUCCCUUUUUUAGUUGCUCUCUUCGAUCAAAAUUACCAAAAAGGUCUUGCAUCUCCUUGUUCCAAGAAUGCCCUUGAUUGCCUGCUAUUUGAACUCUUUUCUGAUAACUGUCAAAUUGGCACUUAUUAUGGUAUUUUCGUUCUACUCCCUGAAAUAUAUGCCAAAUAUUAAAAGUAAGUAGAAUCCAACAAUUAAUCCACAUCGGGUUGGAUAAUAGGGAAAAUUAAUAAUAAAAUAAAUGAUAAAAUUGCAACCUAUCAGAAACAAACCCAUCCGUGGAAUGUUGGUAACAUCACUUUGUUUCCUAAAAGGCUUGUUGGUAACCUACUAGCUGAAAUAAGGACUUCAAGCUAAUAGCCAUCACCAUUCUUGACAAUGAUAAUUAAUGGGUAUAAAUGAAGAUAUUAAACAUAAAUCAUGUUUAAGGAUGCAUCAUACCACAGAAACAAUCUUGCAUUCUCAGAAGUUAUCAGGCUUCCCAUUUUCACAAUCUCUAUAUAGUAUGAAGUAGAACAGCAAAAAGGCAAGCUUUGAAUUAACAAUUCAAUUGCUCAGAAACUACCAUAACUUAAAACUGAAAACAACCCAACCUUUAGGAGGAAUAGCUCUUCAUCAUUCUUGAAAGAUCUCAGAUUAGAAAAACUGCACUUAAAGAGGUGUCCUGGGCUAGCAACGCAGGGGAAAGUGUUCAGAAGAAAGGGCUGUGAUGCUUCCCGAAGGAGAGUAAAUCUUGUCUACAAACCCAGUUGAAGGAGAUUCAUAUGUAUGAGCAUCUUGCAAUUCUGCCAUUAUCCUCCAUACGUCUCCAGCUCCAUGAUAAGGACCUGCAACAAGAACAAACAUUGUUCCAGGAAGUAAAAUGACAUUAUAUCAGAAAAAAAGGAAGAGUGAACAGAAAUAAUUGUAAGCAAUCAACUAAAGAACGUUGUCCUCAUUGAGAAAUAUCAACGAACAACUAUGUUGCAUAGUCCCUCAAAUUGGGAUGUUACAAUAACAAAAAAAACGAAAAGAAAUUUGAAUUGCAUUGAACAUCAAAACAAUCUAGAUUAAGCUAGCUGAUGAACAGUGAACUGAACAACAACAAUCCGAUUACUCAAAAAGGGUUCAAAUUUUGCUAAAAUUAGUAUACUUGUGUAGUCAAUUCACAUAUGAAUUGCACGAACCAAUACAAACUUAUUAAAAAAAAAACCUAGAAAUAUAAAUCACAACCUAGCUUAAAUAUACACUGAAAUUCGCUACAUACAUGCGAAAAAUAAUCACAGUCAAAGAAGUGAUUUUUCCACCAAGUAGAUUACAUAGGGAUAAAUUGAAGAAGACUAAAAAAGAAAAAGCCUGAAACAUCCAUAGAUUGCACAUCAUUUCUUAUAAAUUCUAAAUUAUAGAUAGAAUAUGAAAAAAAAAGGUAAAAUAUGUUUUGAGGGACAAGGAAUCCUCUGCCACCAGCAACAACUUAAUUUCAACAGAAUCUAAAACUACCAUCUUAUUAAAUUAUUUCAUGAGUCACCAUCUAAUUAGCUGCAAAAUACUUCAGGGAAUAGUAGAAACUAAUUGUCAUAAACAUUAACUUACAUCUCUAAGUAGCAUAAUGUUGUUAGUGAAGCCAAUACAGUCAAAAAAUAUGAAGUCUCGACACAAAUGCAAACAUGAAAAUAAAAAAGAGAAAAUAAUAAAAGUAAACAAAAGAAAUCAAGAUCAAACCAGCUGUAAAAGUGACUGUAUUUCUUUUUUCUUUACCCAAAGCCUCUAGCCACUCAGGCUAUAGAUGAUUCACCGCCAUGAACAUCAAGCCUCAAACCUCACCACUAUAUAUUUUACCCUAUUAAAAUCACCCAUCUUGGAUGCUUUAAUUUGCACUACGAAGAGAGGUAAUUCAAAGAUAUCCGACGCUUUAAUGUCCACCUCAGAUGUAAUUUGGGGAUGGUAAGUAGAUGGCAAACCAAUUUCUAAGUUAAAUCCCAAAUUAAGAAUCAAAAUCCUAAAUUAAAUUUCACUGCACGUUUUUAUGAAAGAGAUAGAAAUUGAUUGAGAUUUGGGAGAACAUCUGGGAAGGCAACACAACUAAAGACGGAGAAUCAGUAGGGAGAAGAAAAGGGAAAUGGGGGCAAACCUCGAUAAGCUUUCUCCGUCAGCCGAUUGCUGUAGUAGAGAGGAGUGAGAAGUGGGAGGGGAGAGGACAAAGGAAGGUGGCAAUUUUGGACAGAGGAAUUGUAGCAUCCUCCAUUGCAGCAUACUUUUCACACCGGCAUCGAUCUAUCCACAUAUAUCUCCUCAAAAGACACAUAUUUUCGCUUGACUGGCAUUAUACAUAAACCAGAAUCGAGAAUUGCAUCAUGUUAUCAAUCAUCCAUCCUAUUAUUUAACAAAGGAUACACUGAUUGGGAUGCAAAGUUCACUACCAUUAAACAGGCGUACAGACUUAACUCAACCAGCAACAAGAGAGAAUAACUUUUCAGAAGGAAGCAAUGCAAAACAGGAGAACGGAAAGUAUACCUAUUUCUCACAAUCCCAGCACUAUUAUACGAAAAUGCAACUUUAAUUCAGCCUACAAUAACAGAAAGUUACCUUCCAACAGCAGCAACAAAAAGUAGUCAGACAAAACAAAGUCGAAGUAUUCCACAGCCACACCACGCACCUGCACAAUUAAGAGCAAGAUCAUAACCCAAUUAAAACAGACAUUAUAAAGGCGAAAUAAAAACUCUAAUCAAUAUGCAUACAACUACUGAAGCCACAAUAUAUUAAAAACACACAACCACAACUAAGCCACCACCGUUGAACCAGAAGAAAUCAAAAUCAACACAACAAGCAAAAGCAUAACAAAUAGAAACCAAAAAUUUAAGGAGUCAAUUCAUUGAGUCCAAUCUCCCAGGGAACCAUAAAAAAAACCAAUAAAUAAGGUUGCUCUACGUCCACGCAUUGGAAACAAACUCAGUUCAAUUCAACCUGAGAAACGCAAGUGCAAAAGCUAAAUGGACUCCUAUGGCGAAAUGGAGGAUCGGUCUGAAGUGAAAGAAAGAAAACCAGGAGAAACUCCUGGGACCUUAAUGGGUGCCAAGAUGGCAGAACUACAAAAACGGAAGGAGAAACUCACGAAGGCUAAGGAUGAGGCGGUACAAUCGUGGUCAGAUUCCAGACCUAUGAUUGAUGAGCUUGAAAAGCUGCAGUCGGAACUUGCUGAUGCACAGAGUCGAACAGCCUCAUCCAACGUUACUAUUUCAGAGCUUGACUCUCAGCUUGAAAGGUUGAGUAUCUCUAUCAGGGCUAAGGAGGAGGAAGAACUGAAGAUCCGAACAAUGAUCAACAGGAUAAAUCAGGUCUUGCAACAGACGUAGGAAGAGAUGGAGGAGUUCAAGAUGGAAAGAGAUGAAAAACACAGAACAGGAUUGAAACUAAAGCAAGUUCUAUGUCUAAGGUGACAGACUCUUCGCACUUUGCAACUCACCCUCAGAGCAAUACGAUUAGAAUCAGAAGCUUAUGCUGCAUCAGCUCAUGAAGCACGACGCUACAUCAGCCUUUUCCAGACAGAUGACACUAUGGUCCAGCUUACUCAAGAAGAGUACCAUGCAUUAACAAAAAGAGCAAGAGACGAAACUUCGUUGGCAGAAUGGCGAAUUGCAGUCUCUAUGGAACAAAAGCAGGCAGCCGAGGAAAGCCAAGAGACAGCUGCUAGAAGAUUGCAGAACUUGUAUUCAAAGAAUGGAUCAGGGAAAAGGAAACAUCCCGCUAAUGGGGUCUUAAAAGUUUAAAGAGCAAUUUUCUACAAUUAAUGUCAAUAUAAUUUGUAAUCGUAUUUGUGAGAGGAAAAUUUGAAGGUUGUGCUUUUGUUGUAUUAUAAAUUUAAUCACAACUUCUAACCAAAUUUAUUUUAACAACACAAAUAAAAAAUCGUACUUGGUUAAAUAUUGAAUUCCGCUAUAUAAGAUUUUUGUAAUACUAACAAUAGUUGUUCUUGUAAUGACAACUAACAAUGGAAUAUAUUAUUUUGUUCGCUAAAUAAUAUUAGCUGAUUAUAUACGUGCAUAGCACAUGAUUUUUUCUAGUAAUUUGAAGUGUUCUAGAGAUACCAUUAGGAAUAAAGUUUACGAAAUGUGGCAUGAGCAGGUGAGCUUUGUCCGAUCUUUUAGGUUGGUAUAGUUCUUAUUAUUGGUAAACCCUAUUAAUUCUUUUUAAACAAACUUACUGCUUCAUUAGAUAAAAACUACGAUACAUUUGGCAAAUUCUACUAGUUUCCAGGCAAAUUCUACUAGUUUCCCAUUUAAAUGAGAUUCACAAUCUGGAAAAUCAUUUUUAUUUUUUUUUAUAAUCUCCCCGCAAUUUACAAUGAGUUCAGAGUGCUACCUUUGGUCAAUUUAGAAGAAUUUCCAUAAAGUCAUAAAAUAUCACAUAAGCAUUUUCAGAAGUAAUGUGACAAUCUUUUUAAAACGGCAUUGUGUGUCACUUGUCACCCGUUUCGAUGUUCCAUUGCCAUUGGAUGCAUUUCUAAGGCCUCGCUUGAAUACUUAAAUUAAUUUAUGUUUCUUUUUUCUCAAGCCCUAAAUAUAAAUUUGAAAUAACCUAAUCAACAAUAUAAAGCAAACAAUUUAGUAGAGCGAAAUGAAAAGAACUCUGAAACACAUAAUGUAGUCAUAAUCGGCGUUUUACAACGCCUUUUUUUAUUUUUUCAAUUUUUUUUCUUUUUUUGGGUUUUUUGUUUUGACUUUGAUGUACCCCUAACUAUUACACAUAGAUAAAAAGGAAAGAGAGAAAUUUACUACAUAAGACCCUAUGUAGCACGAAAAAACAAAGUAGACCUUGCACUGAAAACAUUAGCAGACACAACUACUGAUAAUCAUAGACUGAAUGGACACCAUUUUAUUUUGUUUUUCCUUUUUUUCAAUUUUUUUUUCUUUUAUUGCGGUACCAAACGACUGAAGGAUGAUGGUAAUGAGUGCAUCCACCCUAAUUAGGGCAAAUUUCGAUGCCCUUGAUAAUAAUGCCAGACUUCCAGAUUGUAUCACUGGUUUGAAAAAUCCUAGCUUCUGCCGUGGAACUUCUUCCGCGGUUGUUGACGAAGUCACCCAAGUUCAAUUCCUUCCAUCCAUCACUACGGGGUUGAGGAUAUAUGCCCGGAUCCUUCGAAUCUUGUGACUUGUCAAUGAACACACUAUAACCUUCAUCAUCAGUUCCCUUAGCCUUUUCUUCAGUAAAUCUAACCGAUGCAGUUGCUUUUUCAAGUCCCUUUGGCUUGGCAUUAAGUUUGAACACGAGAUAUGUUGAAUAGGAGCUGCCCCAUGGGAGUUGGGCUGUCAACGGGCCGGGUCCGGGUCGGAAUUCAUUAUUCCGGACCCAGACCCGAAUUACUAUACCGGAUCCGACCCGUUUACCCGACGGGUCUUUUAUUCUAUGUUUCGGAUCCGGAUUCGGCGGGUCCCGGGUCCGGGUCGGGUCUACCCGCACAAAUUUAGCAAAAUUUAUAAAUUCUAAUAAAAAUGAGAAAAAAAUAUAUUUGUAAACUAAUUUCUAACUAAUGCAAAGAAAAAACCAAAUAAGCAAAGAAAUCAAAUUGACUUUACUCAAAUACAUCACCCUAAUCAAAUUAUAUUGAUAAAUAUAUAUUUUUUAAAUUAUUAAUUCAUUUAUAUCCGGAUCCGGGUCUAAUACGGGUCGGAAUACUAUAUUCCGUAUUCGACCCGUUUUUUUGUUUGACAAAACGGAAUUAAAUCCCUACCCAUACCCGCAAUAAUUUCACGGAUCCGGUCCGGAUCCGGGUCUAGACCCGACCCGUUGGCAGGCCUACUUGAGAGGUCCCUAGCAGGGACAUUGGUUCGAAUGUCAAACCAGCAAACUUCAACAAGCUCGGCAACCUCGAAGCUGUACAAAGGCAUUAAAAUCAGUUUAGGAUAAUCUUCGAAAGUCAUCAACUAACUAAAGGGAGAAGUGAGAUAAUAAUAUAAAUGCAAUAGGACUAUAUACAGGACGGGUAUGUGUGAAGUAAGUUCAGGAGGUUUACCCAGAAGGUACAUCAGUGUACCACUUCCAAUAGCGUUUAUCAUUACCGUGAUAAAUCACUAGAUCCCUCGCGUUGAUGGUGUAAGCCUGUGAUGGAAAAUUGAGCAUCGACAAGUUAAUUAAUCUUUAAAGGCAAAAUAACAAAAGACUGAUGAGUAGUUCUCGUAUUGAUGCAAACUAAUAACGACUGUUAUAGCUAGUUAUAUACCAUGUUGAAUAGAUGCAGCUCUGGAGUAGUGUUGGAAGGACCGUACGUUUUGUGGAAUGAGGGAUUGAAGAUUGGGGGAAUGGAUAUUUAUAGGCCUAUCUGAUUAAGUAACGUUUUGCAGAUAUUUCCACUCUGAGCUCAUCAGAGAUGUGUAGAAACGUGUUUCGUGCUGGUGUGAAGGUCAGAUGCUGAUGUGAAUGAGGGUGGCCUCUCACAAACCCCAAAUAUGACCAAGUACUAAGCUAUACGCUCCGCCACUUGAAAGUGUAACCAACCAACCUUAGUAUCAACAGUCAUAUAUCUUUAUCAUAGUCUGCUGUAUCAAUAUACACUAUUCUUUUCCUAAUGAAUUCACCUUCCUAUUUGUAGCGCUGAAUACAUUUGGCUAAUUCUCGUUUUGAUAUUUCACAUGAUUAUAAAUUAUGAUUUUAAAUAAUGUGUUUUUCUUGUGUUCUAGUUUUCUUUUUUGUCUAGAUCCUGGAUUUUUCACAUUCGGAAAAAGCCACGAUCUUGAAUCUACCAAAGAUCAAGCAGCUCUAUCAGAGUCCAAUUAUUCUCUGCCAUCUCUUUCUAUAGUCAAUUUUUGUAAAAACCAUAGUGAAUGCUUAUGGGAAAGUCUUCUUUGCAUGUCUAAAGAUUAGAUGAUAAAAUGAAAAUGGUAGAGCUGGUAAAUGGCACAAUUGGCAAUGUAAAAGAAGGAUAGAGCUUGCAUCAUAGGAAAAACAUCGGAUUUGUACCAUGGAAACUGUAGCAUUUCAAUUUUUUUUCUCGCACACUUGUUCAAAAAAUUUAGCAUAAUUGAAGAAAACAAAAGAUAUAAAGAGGCAAACAAAGAAAAGGAUUGAAGAUUGCCAAGGAAAAGGAAUUAUUUGAAGAGUCUUAACGAUACCAUUAAGGAUAAAUUUAAGGAUACGGAGCAGGUGUAAUUGUGUUUUGUCCAGUUUUAUUUGUAUGGUAUAAAUCAUACAAAAUUUAAUGUAAACUCACAUGACUUUCAUGUAGUUAUUGGUGCCGUUGAUGUAUGUAGAUUAGCUCUAUAUACAAAAUAAAUAUACAAAAUAGAGUCUUAUAACAAAUAUACAAAAUCUUGUAAGAAUUACGAUAACGGGACAAAAUUGAAUAAAGCUUAACUAUACUUGUACCCUUGCAAAAUUUUUAUGUUGUGUGAACGCACUUGGUUGGUUUGACCUGCUGGCAAAUACCUAAAUGAACUCUUGUCCAAGAAAAACCUUUCCGACACCUCUAGUUGUUACUAGAUACUACAUUAUAGACUCAUCACUUGAGGAAAAGUUGGGAGGAAUUUUUUUUUUUGGUCAAGGUCAAGACUUAACAAAAGGCCUUUAUGGGAUAGAAGAAUCAUUUUACGUCCAAAACGGGACACAUAAAAGUCUAUCAAGACCAAGACUUAUAAAAAAGACGUACACUAUACUGUACACUUACAAUACAUAUUUCAAAAAUAAAUUAAUUAGUUAAAUACUUGCUAAAUCAAGCAAUUUUGUCAAGACCAACAUUGUAAAUAGCUGUAGACUAGUAGUAAUAUGAACAUCACACUUAAAAGUUUUGAAAUUUCACAAGAUGCGACAAGUGAAAAUUGUGCAAAGUGACAUGAAAGCAAGAUUCUAGAUCAAAAUAGUUGUUACUUAAUUUAAAUUCGCAGAUUCAUUCAUCCAAAAAAAAAUUUUCACAGAUUCAAAUAGAAAAUCUGAAUGAUAAAAAGACAAUAACAUAAAUUAGCCAAAAUCACUAGCGCAAAUUCCACUGUUCAUUUAAAAAAACUUACUAUUAUAAUUGCAAAGUUCACCUUGCCUUUCCUAGUUGUUACCACAUUUUUGGUAAAUCAUAUUAAUUUUUUGAACAAACUUUCUACUUCAUUAGCUAAGCACUGCAAUUCAGUUUGGUAAACCCUACUACUUUUCCAACAAAUGAGAUUCAAAAUUUGGAAACUAAAUUUUAUUUUUUUAUCAUCUCCGAACAAUUUAGUAUUAGUUCAUACAAAUUUUGGUCAAUUUCGGAGAAUGGUCAUAAAUUGAUAGAAAUUCAAACAGGUAUUUCUAGGAAGUAAUGUUACAGUUUCUUUUAAAAUAGGAUUAUAUAUCAUUUGGUAGCUAACGUGAUGUCCCGUUGACAUUCGAUGCACUGCUACGGCCUUUCUUAGGUAUUGCAAUUAAUUAGGGUUGGCACUUGAAACCUAAAAGAGCCUAAUCAACAAGGUUGAAAACAAACAAUUCGUUAAAAUGAGAAUAAAAAGCUCCAAACCACACAAUGCGCAGAUGUUGCUUUGGAGUUUUGGAGGGACUAUUUCAUUGAAAGAGGAUUGAAGAUUGAGGAAAUGGAUAAUUAAGUGGCCUUUGUGGAUAUUUCCACAGUGGCCUCAUCAUGGACAUCAAAAACGUGUUCCACGUUGGUCCUUCUCAUUCUUUUACACGUACUAAGAUAAACGUAAUCCUUGGCAAAAUUCACACCGUCGUUGGUUUAUCCUUCUAGUUGAAGGGCACAAAAUGUACCAAUCAUAGUAGUAGCUCCGACAAUGACAUUAGGUAACAUCAAUUGCUCAAUAUCCGUGAAUGCAAUGUUAAGUUAAAACUUAGAUUUUAGUUUUUUUUUUGUCAAAUAAAACUUAGAGUUUAGUUAUGACUACACUGAACUGCUAAACCAUCAUCAGGUCACAACGUUGCCACUCCAAUUAUACCCAAAAGAUUAUCAUGGUAACUUGCAAUCAAUUUGAAUCACACACCAUUCUCGAUAUAACUAAAUCAUGGAAUAUUUUGAACCAUAAUUCACACUUCGAGAUCCUAAACAUUGAUAAAUUACAAGUAUGAUAGGCUUAUUUGUUACCUACACUUGCGACUAUUUCUAGGAGAAUAAGAAAUUCCAUAGGCCCAUUGAUCAAGGAAGUUCGUUUAAAUAUAUCACCAUGAAUCUUGUGAAAUAACAUAUUUCCAGUAUACACAAUCCGACUAGUUAGUUGAAUAUGUCAAAUAUUAAUUGAUAUGAAUCAAUCAUCAUAAAUGCCAAACAAUCAUCUGAAGACACCAAUCAAUCAUGUCAGUUACCUUAUGUCCAAAAAGAUUGAAUCAAUAGUUAGUUAUAUUUUCCAUAAAAAAAAAAAACAAGCCUUGUUGUCAGUUAUGUUUUCCGCGAGUAUCUUGUCAGGAAAACAAACCAUAAAUGGAGGAAUCUUGUAGACCUCAGAAGAAUGUUAGAGACGAGGUUUUUUCUUUGCACUAAAUUUUAAAAAUCUAAAUAUUCUAUUUUUUGCAAGUAUACAGAUUGUUUAUCAAGAAUAGGACAUAUUAGGUAUGGAUCUCAGAGGCAAGAUUGUCAAUUACUGAUGAUUUUCAAACUUCUUUAUUAUUUAAGUUAUCACAAAUACAAGAAAAUAAAUCUACUUUACAAACAUGAAAUAAAAGGAGUAAAAAUAGCAAUAGAAAGCUUCUGGGGCUAUGGCAUUCCUAACUAGGGUGAUGAUAUCUCUAGAACUUACUCCUUCGAAAGACUCCUCAAGAGGGGUUAAAUGUGAAUCAUUCAUGCUCAUCUCUUGAUGUUCAACCUUAGUUUCAAAGAUACAAUCAUGUAAAAUGGACAUUUCGUCAUUGGAACACAAAUUAUAUUCAUCAUUUUGAUCAAAAUGCAAUCCACUUUCACAUACAACAUUCCCACCAUUCACAAUAGGAUCAACUUACAUAUUAUUAGAAGAUAUAACUUCACACAAGGCAUGUCUUAAAUUCUACCAAAUUGAGAAGCUAAUUCAUCUAAUAUAUUCUCAACCCUAUCAAAAUGGUCAGAAGUCGUAUUAGCUAACCUUUCAAUUGCUAAUUUCCAAGACAAAAGUGCAUUAACUAACCUUUCAAUUGCUAACUUCCAAAAUGGCUUUGAUUCAAGUUGGACAAAUUCGAAUUGGUAAUUAUGAAAAUACAGAGGAGCAUUAUAUCUACAUUGAUUAUCUCAACUAUAAACAUAAGAAUUAUCCCAAUUAGGAUCAUAUUGAUCAAAACAAGGAUUGAAAGGCUCAAAUUCAUCAUAAUAAUCUACAUUUUGUGCGUGUCUACAUGUACGAGUAGCAUGAUAAUCGCCACACAAGUUACAAAUUACAUGAUUAGAAUUAAAAAUAUUAACAUUUUUUUUCUUUUCUUUCUUUUUUUUUUAUUUGGCGAACCCCAUACACGGGGAGGGACGCCACCCCUGAAUAUUAUUAAUAAAAACCAUAAAAGACACAUACAAUGCCAAUCAAUCGAGCACAACCCUACUGCGUAUUACAGGAAUUCCUGCUCUAUCCAAACCCAUGGCCCCCCCUAGCGGGUCUUGGUAACUCCGAAUGGGAGGUAUACAUGCCACUCAACGACCCUUGCACCCCCACCUUAGACAAGAUGUCCGUCACCUGGUUUGCUUCUCGAAAACAAUGACCCACAGUCCAAUCCGAACCCAACAUUGACUAGAUUGCCUCUACAUCAAAGCGAAUCAGCCAUGGACAUCUCGACUUGCCAGGGAGAACAUUUACUAAUAGUAGAGAGUCCACCUCCACCUGUACCCUGGAGACACCCCGUAACAGGCACUGCUGCACCCCAUAUAGCAACGACUUGGUUUCAGCUUGCAAACUUGUCAUCUAUCCGAGGGGAAUGGAAAAACCAAAUAGCAAAUCACCAGAGGAGUCCUGAAGGACACCACCCCCUCCACUAGGCCCUGGGUUACCUAAUGAACAUCUAUCCGUAUUUAACUUGCAGAUCCCCUGAAACGGCAGUUCCCAAUAGACCACCCUAUGGGAGUAUCGAGGCCUCCAUCCAUACAUCCUAGAGUAAAAAGCAUGCCAGGAAACAAACCCAUCCGUGGAAUGUUGGUAACAUCACUUUGUUUCCUAAAAGGCUUGUUGGUAACCUACCAGCUGAAAUAAGGACUUCAAGCUAAUAGCCAUCACCAUUCUUGACAAUGAUAAUUAAUGGGUAUAAAUGAAGAUAUUAAACAUAAAUCAUGUUUAAAGAUGUAUCAUACCACAGAAACAAUCUUGCAUUCUUAGAAGUUAUCAGGCUUCCCAUUUUCACAAUCUCUAAAUAGUAUGAAGUAGAACAGCAAAGAGGCAAGCCCUGAAUUAACAAUUCAAUUGCUCAGAAACUACAUUUGCAGCACCUAUGAUAACUUAAAACUGAAAAUAACCCAACCUUUAGGAGGAAUAGCACUUCAUCAUUCUUGAAAGAUCUCAGAUUAGAAAAACUGCACUUAAAGAGGUGUCCUGGGCUAGCAACGCAGGGGAAAGUGUUCAGAAGAAAGGGCUGUGAUGCUUCCCGAAGGAGAGUAAAUCUUGUUUACAAACCCAGUUGAAGGAGAUUCAUAAGUAUGAGCAUCUUGCAAUUCUGCCAUUAUCCUCCAUACGUCUCCAGCUCCAUGAUAAGGACCUGCAACAAGAACAAACAUUGUUCCAGGAAGUAAAAUGACAUUAUAUCAGAAAAAAAGGAAGAGUGAACGGAAAUAAUUGUAAGCAAUCAACUAAAGAACGUUGUCCUCAUUGAGAAAUAUCAACGAACAACUAUGUUGCAUAGUCCCUCAAAUUGGGAUGUUACAAUAACAAAAAAAACGAAAAGAAAUUUGAAUUGCAUUGAACAUCAAAACAAUCUAGAUUAAGCUAGCUGAUGAACAGUGAACUGAACAACAACAAUCCGAUUACUCAAAAAGGGUUCAAAUUUUGCUAAAAUUAGUAUACUUGUGUAGUCAAUUCACAUAUGAAUUGCACGAACCAAUACAAACUUAUUUAAAAAAAAACCUAGAAAUAUAAAUCACAACCUAGCUUAAAUAUACACUGAAAUUCGCUACAUACAUGCGAAAAUUAAUCACAGUCAAAGAAGUGAUUUUUCCCACCAAGUAGAUUACAUAGGGAUAAAUUGAAGAAGACUAAAAAAGAAAAAGCCUGAAACAUCCAUAGAUUGCACAUCAUUUCUUAUAAAUUCUAAAUUAUAGAUAGAAUAUGAAAAAAAAGGUAAAAUAUGUUUUGAGGGACAAGGAAUCCUCUGCCACCAGCAACAACUUAAUUUCAACAGAAUCUAAAACUACCAUCUUAUUAAAUUGUUUCAUGAGUCACCAUCUAAUUAGCUGCAAAAUACUUUAGGGAAUAGUAGAAACUAAUUGUCAUAAACAUUAACUUACAUCUCUAAGUAGCAUAAUGUUGUUAGUGAAGCCAAUACAGUAAAAAAAUAUGAAUUCUCAGACACAAAUGCAAACAUGAAAAUAAAAAAGAGAAAAUAAUAAAAGUAAACAAAAGAAAUCAAGAUCAAACCAGCUGUAAAAGUGACUGUAUUUCUUUUUUCUUUACCCAAAGCCUCUAGCCACUCAGGCUAUAGAUGAUUCACCGCCAUGAACAUCAAGCCUCAAACCUCACCACUAUAUAUUUUACCCUAUUAAAAUCACCCAUCAUGGAUGCUUUAAUUUGCACUACGAAGAGAGGUAAUUCAAAGAUAUCCGACGCUUUAAUGUCCACCUCAGAUGUAAUUUGGGGAUGGUAAGUAGAUGGCAAACCAAUUUCUAAGUUAAAUCCCAAAUUAAGAAUCAAAAUCCUAAAUUAAAUUUCACUGCACGUUUUUAUGAAAGAGAUAGAAAUUGAUUGAGAUUUGGGAGAACAUCUGGGAAGGCAACACAACUAAAGACGGAGAAUCAGUGGGGAGAAGAAAAGGGAAAUGGGGGCAAACCUCGAUAAGCUUUCUCCGUCAGCCGAUUGCUGUAGUAGAGAGGAGUGAGAAGUGGGAGGGGAGAGGACAAAGGAAGGUGGCAAUUUUGGACAGAGGAAUUGUAGCAUCCUCCAUUGCAGUAUACUUUUCACACCGGCAUCGAUCUAUCCACAUAUAUCUCCUCAAAAGACACAUAUUUUUGCUUGACUGGCAUUAUACAUAAACCAGAAUCGAGAAUUGCAUCAUGUUAUCAAUCAUCCAUCCUAUUAUUUAACAAAGGAUACACUGAUUGGGAUGCAAAGUUCACUACCAUUAAACAGGCGUACAGACUUAACUCAACCAGCAACAAGAGAGAAUAACUUUUCAGAAGGAAGCAAUGCAAAACAGGAGAACGGAAAGUAUACCUAUUUCUCACAAUCCCAGCACUAUUAUACGAGGAUGCAACUUUGAUUCAGCCUACAAUAACAGAAAGUUACCUUCCAACAGCAGCAACAAAAAGUAGUCAGACAAAACAAAGUCCAAGUAUUCCACAGCCACACCACGCACCUGCACAAUUAAGAGCAAGAUCAUAACCCAAUUAAAACAGACAUUAUAAAGGCGAAAUAAAAACUCUAAUCAAUAUGCAUACAACUACUGAAGCCACAAUAUAUUAAAAACACACAACCACAACUAAGCCACCACCGUUGAACCAGAAGAAAUCAAAAUCAACACAACAAGCAAAAGCAGAACAAAUAGAAACCAAAAAUUUAAGGAGUCAAUUCAUUGCAAUCCAACCUCCCAGGGAACCAUAAAAAAAACCAAUAAAUAAGGUUGCUCUACGUCCACGCAUUGGAAACAAACUCAGUUCAAUUCAACCUGAGAAACGCAAGUGCAAAAGCUAAAUGGACUCCUAUGGCGAAAUGGAGGAUCGGUCUGAAGUGAAAGAAAGAAAACCAGGAGAAACUCCUGGGACCUUAAUGGGUGCCAAGAUGGCAGAACUACAAAAACGGAAGGAGAAACUCACGAAGGCUAAGGAUGAGGCGGUACAAUCGUGGUCAGAUUCCAGACCUGUGAUUGAUGAGCUUGAAAAGCUGCAGUCGGAACUUGCAGAUGCACAGAGUCGAACAGCCUCAUCCAACGUUACUAUUUCAGAGCUUGACUCUCAGCUUGAAAGGUUGAGUAUCUCUAUCAGGGCUAAGAAGGAGGAAGAACUGAAGAUCCGAACAAUGAUUAACAGGAUAAAUCAGGUCUUGCAACAGACGCGGGAAGAGAUGGAGGAGUUCAAGAUGGAAAGAGAUGAAAAACACAGAACAGGAUUGAAACUAAAGCAAGUUCUACGUCUAAGGUGGCAGACUCUUCGCACUUUGCAACUCACCCUCAGAGCAAUACGAUUAGAAUCAGAAGCUUAUGCUACAUCAGCUCAUGAAGCACAACGCUACAUCAGCCUUUUCCAGACAGAUGACACUAUGGUCAAGCUUACUCAAGAAGAGUACCAUGCAAUAACAAAAAGAACAAGAGACGAAACUUCAUUGGCACAAUGGCGAAUUGCAGUCUCUAUGGAACAAAAGCAGGCAGCCGAGGAAAGCCAAGAGACAGCUGCUAGAAGAUUGCAGAACUUGUAUUCAAAGAAUGGAUCAGGGAAAAGGAAACAUCCCGCUAAUGGGGUCUUAAAAGUUUAAAGAGCAAUUUUCUACAAUUAAUGGCAAUAUAAUUUGUAAUCGUAUUUGUGAGGGGAAAAUUUGAAGUUUGUGCUUUUGUUGUAUUAUAAAUUUAAUCACAACUUCUAACCAAAUUUAUUUUAACAACACAAAUAAAAAAUCGUACUUGGUUAAAUAUUGAAUUCCGCUAUAUAAGAUUUCUGUAAUACUAACAAUAGUUGUUCUUGUAAUGACAACUAACAAUGGAAUAUAUUAUUUUGUUCGCUAAAUAAUAUUAGCUGAUUAUAUACGUGCAUAGCACAUGAUUUUUUCUAGUAAUUUGAAGUGUUCUAGAGAUACCAUUAGGAAUAAAGUUUACGAAAUGUGGCAUGAGCAGGUGAGCUUUGUCCGAUCUUUUAGGUUGGUAUAGUUCUUAUUAUUGGUAAACCCUAUUAAUUCUUUUUAAACAAACUUACUGCUUCAUUAGAUAAAAACUACGAUACAUUUGGCAAAUUCUACUAGUUUCCAGGCAAAUUCUACUAGUUUCCCAUUUAAAUGAGAUUCACAAUCUGGAAAAUCAUUUUUAUUUUUUUUAUAAUCUCCCCGCAAUUUACAAUGAGUUCAGAGUGCUACUUUUAGUCAAUUUAGAAGAAUUUCCAUAAAGUCAUAAAAUAUCACAUAAGCAUUUUCAGAAGUAAUGUAACAUUCUUUUUAAAACGGCAUUGUGUGUCACUUGUCACCCGUUGCGAUGUUCCAAUGUCAUUAGAUGCAUUUCCGAGGCCUCGCUUACAUAGUUAAAUUAAGUUAUGUUUCUUUUUCUCAAGCCCUAAUCAACAAUACAAAGCAAACAAUUUAGUAGAGGGAAAUGAAAAGAACUCUGAAACACAUAAUGUAGUCAUAAUCGGCGUUUUGCAACGCCUUUUUUUCUUUUUUCAAUUUUUUUCUUUUUUUGGGUUUUUGUUUUGACUUUGAUGUACCCCGAGCUCUUACAAAUGGAUAAAAAGGAAAGAGAGAAAAUUACUACUAAUAAUUAUAGACUGAACGGACACCAUUUUGUUUUUGUUUUUCCCUUUUUUUUCAAUUUUUUUUCUUUUACUGUGGUACAAAACGACUGAAGGAUGAUGGUAAAGAGUGCAUCCACCCUAAUUAGGGCGAAUUUCAAUGCCCUUGAUAAUAAUGCCAGACUUCCAGAUUGUAUCACUGGUUUGAAAAAUCCUAGCUUCUGCCGUGGAACUUCUUCCGCGGUUGUUGACGAAGUCACCCAAGUUCAAUUCCUUCCAUCCAUCACUACGGGGUUGAGGAUAUAUGCCCGGAUCCUUCGAAUCUUGUGACUUGUCAAUGAACACACUAUAGCCUUCGUCAUCAGUUCCCUUAGCCUUUUCUUCAGUAAACAUAACCGAUGCAGUUGCUUUUUCAAGUCCCUUUGGCUUGGCAUUAAGUUUGAACACGAGAUAUGUCGAAUAGGAACUGCCCCUUGGGAGGUCCCUAGCAGGCACACUGGUUCGAAUGUCAAACCAGCAAACUUCAACAAGCUCGGCAACCUC
Molecule: long non-coding RNA, 27855 nt
Filed under: Coffea arabica (coffee)
Lineage: Eukaryota; Viridiplantae; Streptophyta; Magnoliopsida; Gentianales; Rubiaceae
Description: long non-coding RNA (CARA_LNC007458)
Source: RNAcentral